Molecule: non-coding RNA, 617 nt
Organism: Pelobates cultripes (western spadefoot toad)
Lineage: Eukaryota; Metazoa; Chordata; Amphibia; Anura; Pelobatidae
Source: the annotation of a GenBank genome assembly
CUCUUAUAUACAAGUGAACUGUUCAGCAUACUACGCUGCUUGGAUAUAUUAACUAUCGAUUAAUUGACAAAACAUUCUAGAUUGACUCUCAUGGGUAGAAGAACCUAUGAUAGAUUUCAUAUAAGUAUUGCUUCCUAAAUCGUAAAGUGUGUAUUGUCAGUCUGCAUAAUUAUGUAAUGUAGUUCAUAUGAGAGCGUUAUAUGUCUGUGCCUUGUAAUAUAUAUAUUUUGUUUUUGACAUUUUGUAGAAAACCCAAAUUUUCUCAAACACUGUGUGGAUUAGGGAUAGACUUUGCAGUACCUUCUGGGAGGAUAUAGCUUGUUCAAGCCUGCUCUCUACUAACAAGUGGCAACCUCGGGUACUGUGGACUACAACCUUCUCUCUGAGCCUCGUCAUACCUGGGAACUUACUGUGCUCUACCUGGAAUUUGGGUACCUCCAUAUUAAACGCCACAAUGAUGUGUCUCUCUACCUACUUCCUUCAUCACUCAGCCUUAGAAUGUAACAUUUCAGCCAUACUGAAAUGAGUUGCUCCAAACCCAUUCCCCAUUUUGUAAGAGGAACUUCAAACAAAGUAAAUAUGACAAUUCCCAGGUAUGAACAAAGUGGCGGUUCUAG